AUUUGUUGUAGUCUAGUUGAUUAGGAUAUUUGGCUUUCAUCCAAAAAGACAUGGGUUCAAGUCCCAACGAUGGAAA
This 76-nucleotide transfer RNA is filed under the name Rosa chinensis. Its description in RNAcentral is "tRNA RchiOBHm_Chr3g0495571". It matches the Rfam family "tRNA". Rfam says of the family: Transfer RNA (tRNA) molecules are approximately 80 nucleotides in length. Their secondary structure includes four short double-helical elements and three loops (D, anti-codon, and T loops). Further hydrogen bonds mediate the characteristic L-shaped molecular structure. tRNAs have two regions of fundamental functional importance: the anti-codon, which is responsible for specific mRNA codon recognition, and the 3' end, to which the tRNAs corresponding amino acid is attached (by aminoacyl-tRNA synthetases). tRNAs cope with the degeneracy of the genetic code in two manners: having more than one tRNA (with a specific anti-codon) for a particular amino acid; and 'wobble' base-pairing, i.e. permitting non-standard base-pairing at the 3rd anti-codon position. The record is from RNAcentral. RNAcentral also lists the same sequence under 1 other name. Lineage: Eukaryota; Viridiplantae; Streptophyta; Magnoliopsida; Rosales; Rosaceae.